Molecule: ribosomal RNA, 253 nt
Filed under: uncultured bacterium
Lineage: Bacteria
Description: partial 16S ribosomal RNA
Rfam family: Bacterial small subunit ribosomal RNA
Source: RNAcentral
UACGUAGGGACCGAGCGUUGUCCGGAAUCAUUGGGCGUAAAGCGCGUGUAGGCGGCCAGGUAGGUCGGUUGUGAAAAUUGGAGGCUCAACCUCCAGACGUCGAUCGAAACCAUCUGGCUAGAGUCCGGAAGAGGAGAAUGGAAUUCCUGGUGUAGCGGUGAAAUGCGCAGAUAUCAGGAAGAACACCGAUGGCGAAGGCAGUUCUCUGGGACGGUACUGACGCUGAGACGCGAAAGCGUGGGGAGCGAACAGG